This 623-nucleotide ribosomal RNA is filed under the name uncultured bacterium. Its description in RNAcentral is "bacterial SSU rRNA". It matches the Rfam family "Bacterial small subunit ribosomal RNA", at positions 8 to 627 of the family's 1533-position model. The record is from RNAcentral.
AGAGUUUGAUCCUGGCUCAGGAUGAACGCUGGCGGCGUGCUUAACACAUGCAAGUCGAACGAAGCACUCUUUUAGAUUUCCUUCGGGGAAGAAGAAAUUGUGACUGAGUGGCGGACGGGUGAGUAACGCGUGGGCAACCUGCCCCAUACAGGGGGAUAACAGCCGGAAACGGCUGCUAAAACCGCAUAAGCGCACAAGGGCCGCAUGGCCUGGUGUGAAAAACUCCGGUGGUAUGGGAUGGGCCCGCGUCUGAUUAGCUAGUUGGCGGGGGAGAGGCCCACCAAGGCGACGAUCAGUAGCCGACCUGAGAGGGUGGCCGGCCACAUUGGGACUGAGACACGGCCCAAACUCCUACGGGAGGCAGCAGUGGGGAAUAUUGCACAAUGGGGGAAACCCUGAUGCAGCGACGCCGCGUGAGCGAAGAAGUAUUUCGGUAUGUAAAGCUCUAUCAGCAGGGAAGAAAAAUGACGGUACCUGAGUAAGAAGCACCGGCUAAAUACGUGCCAGCAGCCGCGGUAAUACGUAUGGUGCAAGCGUUAUCCGGAUUUACUGGGUGUAAAGGGAGCGCAGGCGGUGCGGCAAGUCUGAUGUGAAAGCCCGGGGCUCAACCCCGGGACUGCAUU